AGUUGUGCCCCUACUUUCUAAUGGAUAUGCAGCUGUGUAUUCCUAAGAAAAGUAUAUGAGCUAGGAAUUCGACUACUAGCUCAAGGACCAUCAGGGAGCUGAAUUUUUACAAUGUUUUAGAACUGAGGCAUAGCUAAAGCCCGCAGGUUUUGAAACAUUAAAGUGUAUUUAGUUCAUGUAGUUCUGUGUAUUCCAAGACCCCAAAGAAAGAAAAAGAAGAAAAGAUCAGGAAAAACAUUCCUCCAAGAACAUGUAGAGCACGACAUGGAAAAUAUAAUAUAUAGUUGCUGUGCAUAUUAAUUUGUAGAGUACACCAUCAGUUUAAAGGUAAUCUCGGACUCUGUGCUCCUUCGCUAUUUAAAUUAAACCUACCAGACUUCCAUUAUGUGAUAAGCUAUUGAUAAAUUUUCUAAGAACAAAAGCUUUCUUUUUACAGUCCCAGUUGCAACAUGACAUCAAUUUUUCCUUAGGGGGUCUAAAAUUAAUUAGAUGAUUCCUAGCGCUUAUAGCAUUAUCUAUCUGAGGGAGCUUUUGUUGUUCGGAUUAUACCAAAGAGUCCAGGUACCACAAAAUUCAGAGUAGUUCAGCGAGAGAUAAAUAGGUUUAUCAUGUCUACCUUUUUUUGUAUAAAGUUCAGUUGGCAAUAUUUGAAGAAUACAAGGAGCUGUCAGGUGAGUACGGAUCAAAUGAAGAAUGGGCAAAAUGCUCAGGUGUUCAAAUAGUUCUAUUUUUUCUACAUUCAGCCAACUGGAGUAUCCCGCUCUCCCUUCUAUAGGUUCUACAUUUCAAUCCUUAUUUUGUUGAAUCAUCAGGUACUUGCAUCCUAUUGUUCAAGAUGUGUAAUUUUUCUGUAAGUUUUCUGACAGUUAACAAAAUCAUUGACUUAUGAAAGAACUCUUAGUGACGAAAGUGUACAUGCAAUGAGUUAUGCAGUUCACAUACAAUUUUUACCAACAGAUAGUUUCCUUUACUUAAUUGGUUCAUUUAUUAUUCUGUAGUAAUCAAUCAUGUAUUCUUAGAGUUUCGAAGGAUCUCACAUUUCAUGUUGUCUAUAACUAAGCAUGCUUCUAACAAGGGUGAAGGAAAUAUUGUGUGGGAAUGAGUGGAAAUCUAAGCAUUCCUAUAUAUAUAUAGUGUUACUAUUCAUCACCCAGGAUGCAGAAUAAGUUAUUCUUCACCCGAGGUAAUCUUACGAUCACUCUUCCUAAAUAAAUUACGUUUAGAAUAUAAAUAGUUACAUGCACAUUAAUUCAAUAUGUAAAAUUUGGUCUAAAAAAAGUUAUAAGAUCAGAAAAAUCACAUUUUAUGUAUGUUUUACAAUAUGUUUUUACAUUUGUAAUUUUAUGUAACAUAAAAUAUUUUUUACGGCGAGUACAUAUUUUUUUACGUUCUUUUUUUAUGUAUGAAAUAAGACAAAAUUUACAAAACGUAAAAAUACGGUGCAUUGAUGUCAAAAUAGGGAGGGGGUGAAGAAUAACUAUUCCUCACCCAGGGUGACGAAUAGGGCGAUGUUACUAGUAACAGAAUAAUAUUCUGUUACUAUCAGCUCUUAUAAGGGCGCGAUGCAAUUUUUCACUCUCCAAAAAACCAACCGGAGCAACUCAAAUGGCCCGCUGAAGCCCAUAACACGACCUGCUAGCGCCGCCGUCUUCCUCCCCAGGCCCCCGCUCGCGCCGCCGCCUUCCUCCCCCGCCCCCCGCUCGCGCCGCCGCCUUCCUCCCCAGGCCCCCGCUCGCGCCGCCGCCUUCCUCCCCCGGCCCCCGCUCGCGCCCCGCCGCCUUCUUCCCCCGGCCCCCGCUCGCGCCGCCGCUUUCCUCCUCUGUCCCCCAUCGCGCCGCCGUCUUCCCGCACUUGCCACCUAUCGCGCCGCCGCCCUCCCCUGCCCCCCAGCUCGCGCCACGGCCCGCCCUCUCCUGCAGUCCGGUGACCAAGAUGCUUCAGUCCAAAUCCAUGUGCGGGGAGCUACGAGGAUGAAUUGCUUUUUGGUUCAACUCUGAUGCAUUGUCGAUGGGAUUACGUACAAGCCAUUUUUCAAUGCAACAAGAAGAUGUACGAAAACUUGUGCCGAUGUACCUUGUCCUGAAGCUCCUAUACGCACUUAUUUGCCCAGAUGUAUGAAUCUGACCGUAAGAACAAGAUUCGUCGAUGCUCCUCUUUCUCGGCUAGUGGGCCAACACGGGUGUCCUCAUGGCGGCCUCCCUCCGACGAUCUGAGGUGCCCUCAUGGCCUCCUCUGCUUCCUACCUAGCAGAUCACGGCGGCCCUCCCCCACUUGCUGCUCAUCAUCAUCGAUCUCAACAACGAAGAGGGGCCAAAAUAAACGUGAACCUCGUCGCCCUCUUCAUGGUGAUCCAAUUUUGAAAAGUUCACUCCAUCUGCAUGUGCAAGUUCACUGCCUCGCCGGCCUGCGGCUCCUCCAUGGACGCCUAGCUCCUCUACUAGAGCCACCGCGGCCCACGACAGCCCAAGGUGGCGGAGUUCGUUGCGUCCAUCAGUCCAACCCCAUGGCUUCAGGCUGGCCGAGUUUUGUCGCGGCCGUCAGUUCGGACACCUGCGUCACUGCGUGCGUUGCUACCACUGCCAUUUGCGUCACUGCAUGCUCCGUCACCGGCCUCAUGCGCACCAUGACCCCUGGCGCACUCCUUCCUCUCCGUGACGCUGCUCGUGCCCUCCCAGGCUUGAUCUCCUGCUGCAGCGAUGAGCUCCUGUACAUUGCUGAAGUUUCGUACCUGACGGCACCAGAACGAGGAUUCCGCAGCCAGGCUGGACCCCAGUUCGUGCCUCCCUCUCUCUCCCUUAGCUACAUCAUCACUGUUGCAGUGCUGCUGAUUGAUUUCUUGUAGUGAACUGUGAUGCUCUACUGAUGGAGAGAAGUUUGGGAAACUGCACAAAUAUUGGUAUUUUGGAGUUAUGAAUUUGGUGCUCCGUAGGUGCCUGCUGGUAUAUGCAAGUGCUUAAAAGUAUUUAGGUGGGUGGUUCGACACCGCUGCGUCCAGCAGUCCAACACCGCCGCCGGAGGCCGUUCACUGUCGCAAUGCCUACUUUCGCCCGCGCCUCCUUCCCGGUCAUCGUGAGGUAAACCUUGCUCGAAAUCUCUCUUCUCCAUCUCCCGACGGCGAAGAUCUCCGUGCCUCCUGUUUGAACCGACAUUUUAUUUUGAAUUGAACUAGUGCCGCUUUGAUUCAGACCUGACGGAAGAAGGCAGAACCUCUGUCUCGUACGCAGUAAUAUUGCUCUCUCAUCUCUCAUCUCGUAGGCAGUAAUAUUGCUCUCUCAUCUCUCAUCUCGUAGGCAGUAAUAUUUUGAUGAAUGUGUUACAACACAAAUGUCGUAUUGACAUUCAGUAGCUUAGAGAGAGUAGCACAGAGAAACAUUGUUGUGUUGUGGAUGACAAAGAACACAUGUGACAGCAAGUCUAGGUAUUACUACAUGGGGAGUACAAAAUUACUUUUGCUGAGAGAUCACUUGAAUCCUUGAUAGCUACUAGCCAUAGGAACUUAACCCAGAAAAAAUGUGCGAAAAAGAAACAUUUUGUACUACGAUUAGUCAUUGAUGGCGUAUAAUGUUAUAUUUUCUUACUUCCCUAGCGUUGAAUUAGAACAGCAUUUUCAAGAGCUGCAUUAGCUCAUUACUUAUCUCUUGUACUGUUAAUUUUAUUUUCAAAACCGAACUUGUACUGGGUACAUGAGUUCCGAUAGUAGCUUCUCUUUCACAAAUUUUACAUAAUCAAACAUUCUUGAUGUGCUGCCUUUCUUCCAGAUAUAUAGAUUCACUUUUGAAUUCGAUUCUCAAAUCAGACAUUCAUAAUUCUAUUGCCAGUUCUGAAACAAAGAAAUGUUUGCGUAACAGACCCAUAAAAAACACCAAAACGAAUCCCCAUCCUUGGUAACUUGCUGGCUUUGAUCUUCCAGGGCAGCAUGAAUGAUCAGUACUCCCUUUAAUCAACGUGCGCUGAUCGAGCCAUAGUAGCAUCUCAUUUGUCCUAAAUUCUUCCACUCUCUGGAAAGAAAGUCCCGGAAUGGAUGUGAACAGAGUAUACUCCCAUGGUUUUGCGAGAAAUCGUACAAUCAGAGUACCGUAGUACAUGUGUGUAUUGUGAUUUUAAUUGUGAGUUGGAGUUCAGAAAUAAGAUAACAAAAAGGUACAUAAAAGAACCCAAAAGCAUUCGGUACUUCUUGAAACCUAAAGUUCAGUUCAACAUGUUUUUUAUCAUCAGCUCGUUAAGAACCCCACAAAUGGUUCAAUGUGUGUGUUCAAAAAGAUAGCUGGCUAUAUAUAAAAAAAUCAGUAGCUCGGCAAAAAGGAGUUCAUAUCAGUUCAGACUUGAGAGGCCUUGUAAAAUCACCAGUCUUUGAACCUUUAACCUGUCAUUAUAUUGCUGACUCCCCUAUAUGUAGGUGCUUGUCCAGCAGGCUAUAGAAGGCUAUAUAUAAAUGCUGUUUUUGAUGUCUUGUAGUGCAUAGAAGGCUUAAAAAAUCAUGUUUCUCUAGUUGAAAAUUUUGAUGUUAUGUAGGUGCUUGUUAGGACUUGGGCACGAGCUCGUCCAGCAGGGGUGCUGGCAGCCGUCCAAGUGGAGUGUGUUGAAAACAGUACGAGUAGAAUCACGGGUCGCGGCCACCAACUUCACCAAGUGCUGCACAUCCGUCCAAGUCGAGCACACACACAGGGAGAACACCAGCGCCUUUGCUUUGCACAUUGCUUGGUCAUGCAUAAUUGCUGAUGGAUGCAGCAAGUGUUUUAUUACUUUGAUCUUCUACAAGACUCAAUUUUGUCUCAGUUUUCAUGGAUGCUAGCCGGCAAGUGACAUAAUUUUGGUUGCCAUUUCUCUAUGUAGCAGAUUCCAUCCGCACAAAAAAUGCUACUGCAAAUUCUUCUAUGUAAAAUAUGAAUAAGGUUCAAUUCACAAAAACAUGUGGAAGUUCGCUUGGGAAAUUCUGCAGUCUAUUUGAUUAUGUCAGGAUGUACAGAAUGACGACUCUUUAUUGUGUGCCUUCAGCACAAUUUAAAAUUACUCAUUGACCGUA
This is a non-coding RNA of Aegilops tauschii subsp. strangulata, 5023 nucleotides long. Lineage: Eukaryota; Viridiplantae; Streptophyta; Magnoliopsida; Poales; Poaceae. The record is from RefSeq and is a predicted model, not a curated record.